CUUUUGUGCAGGCAUCUCGCUGUCUGCGCUGGGCACGGAGCGGCGCGCGCGCGCCCGUCUUUCCCUCGGCGGCCCCCGCGGCUCGGACCCGGGCCGGCAGACAGGCCAUCCAUCAUCCGCCCUCCUCCCGCGGAGCGCCGCAGCCGCCGCGGCCAAUCCGGCGGCAGGUGGGGCCGCACCUGCGCGACAGCCCGCCGCUUCCCUCCGCUCCCUUCGCCGCGCCUCGCGUGCUAGCGGUGCCCUUGUGAGCCACUGCGUUCUCCAAGGCCAGAACGGGACAGUUGACGAUGGUCGUACUUCUCCAUGUUCUGAGACCAGUUUAAACAAAAACAAAAACCAGACAACAACCUUGCAAGGGAAAGAAUUCAGAGUAAAUAAACAGUCUUUUUCUGGGAAGUAAAAUAUUUCCCUAAGAUGGAGAAAUUGAGAUGAGAGCUCAUCCACAAGAUUACCCAUCAAUGAGCACCAAUAGCAACCAAAUCCACUAGAAGACUGGGAGCUUUUAAGUCAAGAAACUUACAUCAGUAUCAUCAUUCCAAGAAGCGGUAUCCAAGCUGUUUUAUCGAAAGUGCGCAUGGGAGGGAUCUCAUCAGAGAGAGAGACAUCUUCGCCACUGCCAUGAAGUUUCAAGUACAGAACUCUUCCUCGUAAUCAAACUAUUUCUAUGAACAAUUCACUCAUCAUUGUGGGAAAGUCUAUUUUUCAUCUUAACACACAAACAGACAAUAACAAAAUUUGUGAUUUGGAUAAUCUGGAUCUGAUGUUCAUGCUCAAAAUGGAGGCAAUUCGUAAUACUGGUCUGAAGCAUUUAGUCAUUCACUGAGCAGAUACGUUAGGAGCAACAGGCAUGGGCUGUGUUUUUCUAGGCACUGUGAACACAGCAGUCAACGAAGUCAAAAACCUGUGCUCUUAAGGGACAUGAAUUGCCAAAUGGAAACACUAAGUUUUUCUAUUUAUGACCUAAAGCUAGUCAAAUAUCUCCAGAAGUAAGGUAGCUGAGUGAAGUGGUUCAUAAUCUUUCCAUGGGAGCCAAAUCCUCGGUGCUGUGACUCUUUUAGAUAAAUGAUAGUAAAAAUGAAUCAAAAGUUAAUUAGCUUGCACCUCAAUAAUCCAGUCUCCAUCACUGAUGGUCAUCGUGGAAUCUGCGUACAGAGGCAGCUGUAUACAGAUGACAGAGACAGCUCUAACACGUGACACAUUUAAGCACACAGAGGCGGAAGGACAUAAAGUUCCUGGUUGAUUUCCCUUUGGUGUUUGUGGGGAAAUAUCAAGGUCAUAAAAAGUCAGUUUCUAAUAAUCCCUCCAGUCCUCCAUUCCAUUCCCUAAUUUGUAUGCAAUGGCAUUUAACAUUUUGACUUUGCUUAAAAUAAAAUGUGUGUUUGUUUUAAAAUAAA
RNAcentral lists this long non-coding RNA (1394 nucleotides) under Homo sapiens (human). RNAcentral describes it as "non-protein coding LINC01197:27". Lineage: Eukaryota; Metazoa; Chordata; Mammalia; Primates; Hominidae. The record is from RNAcentral.